This is a non-coding RNA of Nephila pilipes (giant wood spider), 64 nucleotides long. NCBI's taxonomy places the organism in Eukaryota, Metazoa, Arthropoda, Arachnida, Araneae, Nephilidae. The record is from the annotation of a GenBank genome assembly.
GUAGCCUAGUGGUCAUGGUUUCUGACUCGCGUUCGUCGGGUCGUAGGUUCGAGUCCUAACGCCA